AUUGAACGCUGGCGGCAGGCCUAACACAUGCAAGUCGAGCGGAUGAAGGGAGCUUGCUCCUGGAUUCAGCGGCGGACGGGUGAGUAAUGCCUAGGAAUCUGCCUGGUAGUGGGGGAUAACGUCCGGAAACGGGCGCUAAUACCGCAUCCGUCCUGAGGUAGAAAGUGGGGGAUCUUCGGACCUCACGCUAUCAGAUGAGCCUAGGUCGGAUUAGCUAGUUGGUGGGGUAAAGGCGUACCAAGGCGACGAUCCGUAACUGGUCUGCGAGGAUGACCAGUCACACUGGAACUGAGACACGGUCCAGACUCCUACGGGAGGCAGCAGUGGGGAAUAUUGGACAAGGGGCGAAAGCCUGAUCCAGCCAUGCCGCGUGGGUGAAGAAGGUCUUCGGAUUGUAAAGCACGUUAAGUGGGGAGGAAGGGCAGUAAGUUAAUACCUUGCUGUUUUGACGUUACCAACAGAAUAAGCACCGGCUAACUUCGUG
This 484-nucleotide ribosomal RNA is filed under the name uncultured bacterium. RNAcentral's name for it is "partial 16S ribosomal RNA". It matches the Rfam family "Bacterial small subunit ribosomal RNA", at positions 30 to 507 of the family's 1533-position model. The record is from RNAcentral.